This 609-nucleotide ribosomal RNA is filed under the name uncultured fungus. RNAcentral describes it as "eukaryotic LSU rRNA". It matches the Rfam family "Eukaryotic large subunit ribosomal RNA", at positions 23 to 673 of the family's 3401-position model. The record is from RNAcentral. Lineage: Eukaryota; Fungi.
ACCCGCUGAACUUAAGCAUAUCAAUAAGCGGAGGAAAAGAAACCAACAGGGAUUGCCUUAGUAACGGCGAGUGAAGCGGCAAAAGCUCAAAUUUGAAAUCGGCCCCCAGGUCGAGUUGUAAUUUGUAGAUUGUAUCUUGAGAGCGGAUUAAAGUCUGUUGGAACACAGCGCCUUAGAGGGUGACAGCCCCGUAAAAUCUAUUCUCAUUGUAAGAUACUUUCGAAGAGUCGAGUUGUUUGGGAAUGCAGCUCUAAGUGGGAGGUAAAUUCCUUCUAAAGCUAAAUAUUGACGAGAGACCGAUAGCGAACAAGUACUGUGAAGGAAAGAUGAAAAGCACUUUGAAAAGAGAGUGAAAAAGUACGUGAAAUUGUUAAAAGGGAAGGGUAUUGAAUCAGACUUGGUGCUGUUGUUCAGCUGUGUUUUGGCACAGUGUACUCAGCAGUACUAGGCCAAGGUGGGGUGUUUGGGAGUGAAAAAGAAGUUGGAACGUAACUCUUCGGAGUGUUAUAGCCUACUUUCAUAGCUCCUCAGGCGCCUCAGGACUGCGCUUCGGCAAGGACCUUGGCAUAAUGAUUCUAUACCGCCCGUCUUGAAACACGGACCAAGGAG